This 142-nucleotide long non-coding RNA is filed under the name Sitophilus oryzae (rice weevil). RNAcentral describes it as "uncharacterized LOC115890469". Lineage: Eukaryota; Metazoa; Arthropoda; Insecta; Coleoptera; Curculionidae. The record is from RNAcentral.
AUGGAAGGAAUAUCAUGGCCGAGAACAAGGCAUAAUUGUAUGUCCCUUGAUGUAGGGGGGCCUGUAAAGAUAAAUAAUUCCUGGAGCCAUCUCGAGGUAUAGUACUCAAGUCGGAGCGAAUCAAUUGAUAGCACGAUGAAAA